AGAAAAAGUUAUAAUUCCCGUCAAAAAUUGAUAAUAAGAUUAUUUCCACUGUAGCGGAUUUAAAACAUCGGUGACCCCCCUUUUUUAUUAAUGCUUUUAAAAUCUCCCAUGAAGCUGCAACUAAUGCAGAAGUUUGAAGGAAAAAACAUUAGUAGAUUUUUUUUAUUUCAAGAAAAAUCUAUAAUAAACGGCAAUUAAAAAUGGCGGG
Molecule: long non-coding RNA, 208 nt
Filed under: Mytilus galloprovincialis (Mediterranean mussel)
Lineage: Eukaryota; Metazoa; Mollusca; Bivalvia; Mytilida; Mytilidae
Source: RNAcentral